CAGUAGCCGCGGGAAUACAGAGGGUGCGAGCGUUAAUCGGAUUUACUGGGCGUAAAGCGUGCGUAGGCGGCUAAUUGAGUCGGAUGUGAAAUCCCCGAGCUUAACUUGGGAAUUGCAUUCGAUACUGGUUAGCUAGAGUGUGGGAGAGGAUGGUAGAAUUCCAGGUGUAGCGGUGAAAUGCGUAGAGAUCUGGAGGAAUACCGAUGGCGAAGGCAGCCAUCUGGCCUAACACUGACGCUGAGGUACGAAAGCAUGGGGAGCAAACAGGAUUAGAUACCCCGGUAGUCCCUGUCUCUUAUAU
RNAcentral lists this ribosomal RNA (301 nucleotides) under uncultured bacterium. RNAcentral describes it as "partial 16S ribosomal RNA". It matches the Rfam family "Bacterial small subunit ribosomal RNA", at positions 509 to 809 of the family's 1533-position model. The record is from RNAcentral.